GAGGAUAUAGCUCAAGUGGUAGAGUGCAUGCUUAGCAUGCACGAGGUCCUGGGUUCAAUCCCCAGUACCUCCU
This 73-nucleotide transfer RNA is filed under the name Camelus bactrianus (Bactrian camel). It matches the Rfam family "tRNA". From Rfam's summary of the family: Transfer RNA (tRNA) molecules are approximately 80 nucleotides in length. Their secondary structure includes four short double-helical elements and three loops (D, anti-codon, and T loops). The record is from Rfam by way of RNAcentral. Lineage: Eukaryota; Metazoa; Chordata; Mammalia; Artiodactyla; Camelidae. RNAcentral also lists the same sequence under 2 other names.